AUUGAACGCUGGCGGCAUGCCUUACACAUGCAAGUCGAACGGCAGCACGGGAGCAAUCCUGGUGGCGAGUGGCGAACGGGUGAGUAAUAUAUCGGAACGUGCCCAGUCGUGGGGGAUAACGUAGCGAAAGCUACGCUAAUACCGCAUACGAUCUAUGGAUGAAAGCGGGGGAUCGCAAGACCUCGCGCGAUUGGAGCGGCCGAUAUCAGAUUAGGUAGUUGGUGAGGUAAAGGCUCACCAAGCCGACGAUCUGUAGCUGGUCUGAGAGGACGACCAGCCACACUGGGACUGAGACACGGCCCAGACUCCUACGGGAGGCAGCAGUGGGGGAAUUUUUGGACAAUGGGCGCAAGCCUGAUCCAGCAAAUGCCGCGUGCAGGAUGAAGG
RNAcentral lists this ribosomal RNA (387 nucleotides) under uncultured bacterium. Its description in RNAcentral is "bacterial SSU rRNA". It matches the Rfam family "Bacterial small subunit ribosomal RNA", at positions 30 to 414 of the family's 1533-position model. The record is from RNAcentral.